Molecule: non-coding RNA, 105 nt
Organism: Paecilomyces variotii
Lineage: Eukaryota; Fungi; Ascomycota; Eurotiomycetes; Eurotiales; Thermoascaceae
Source: the annotation of a RefSeq genome assembly
GCCGGGCUAGCUCAAUCGGUAGAGCGUGCGGCUCUUACCAGCAGUUAGUAAAAUAACUGCAUCCAGGUUACCGCAAGGCUGCGGGUUCGACCCCCGCGUUCGGCU